Molecule: non-coding RNA, 579 nt
Organism: Drosophila takahashii
Lineage: Eukaryota; Metazoa; Arthropoda; Insecta; Diptera; Drosophilidae
Source: RefSeq, a predicted model, not a curated record
AUUUAUCACAAAGCACUGAAAAUACCUGAGGCCAAAAGCACUAUGUAAAGUCCGUUUUACAACUUUGUAUUUCACCAGCAAAAGAGCUUAUAAGCGACUAAAUUAUGUUUGAAUUGUUGAAGUACUGAGUUGUUUUUCCGCGCUUUGAUUGGACAAUCACCCGAUGUCCUCUGGCCAAACAAACAGGUAAACAAACAGCAAGCUUUAUUGGCGAAAUCAAAUAUAUAUAAGACAAAUAUAUUUAUACAGGUAUAUGUCUAUAUAUUAUUGCACACCGAAUAAGGAAAGGAAAGAGAGACCUUCCACGCGCAAACUGAUCUAUCGGCAAACUGUCGAAGAAUUGUUGAUACCGAUACCACUAACAAAGCCGCCGUACAUAUAGGCUAGCCUGUCGGACCUUUCCAUGCAUGUUCAUGUAUAAAACAUAUAUAUAUAUAUAUACAAAUACGUAGCCAUAGCCAUACCCAUAACACACCCAGACCAGGGUCUUACCAACGUUUAGAUAUCCCUAAAUACGUGCAUACCAAGUGCAUUGCACUCUCUAAUAGUUGAUAUAAUAAAAACCAUAUACGAUCCUCA